RNAcentral lists this ribosomal RNA (484 nucleotides) under uncultured bacterium. RNAcentral describes it as "partial 16S ribosomal RNA". It matches the Rfam family "Bacterial small subunit ribosomal RNA", at positions 30 to 507 of the family's 1533-position model. The record is from RNAcentral.
AUUGAACGCUGGCGGCAGGCCUAACACAUGCAAGUCGAGCGGUAGAGAGAAGCUUGCUUCUCUUGAGAGCGGCGGACGGGUGAGUAAUGCCUAGGAAUCUGCCUGGUAGUGGGGGAUAACGUUCGGAAACGGACGCUAAUACCGCAUACGUCCUACGGGAGAAAGCAGGGGACCUUCGGGCCUUGCGCUAUCAGAUGAGCCUAGGUCGGAUUAGCUAGUUGGUGGGGUAAUGGCUCACCAAGGCGACGAUCCGUAACUGGUCUGAGAGGAUGAUCAGUCACACUGGAACUGAGACACAGUCCAGACUCCUACGGGAGGCAGCAGUGGGGAAUAUUGGACAAUGGGCGAAAGCCUGAUCCAGCCAUGCCGCGUGUGUGAAGAAGGUCUUCGGAUUGUAAAGCACUUUAAGUUGGGAGGAAGGGCAGUAAAUUAAUACUUUGCUGUUUUGACGUUACCGACAGAAUAAGCACCGGCUAACUCUGUG